This 1004-nucleotide ribosomal RNA is filed under the name uncultured Corynebacterium sp. RNAcentral describes it as "bacterial SSU rRNA". It matches the Rfam family "Bacterial small subunit ribosomal RNA", at positions 509 to 1503 of the family's 1533-position model. The record is from RNAcentral. Lineage: Bacteria; Bacillati; Actinomycetota; Actinomycetes; Mycobacteriales; Corynebacteriaceae.
CAGCAGCCGCGGUAAUACGUAGGGUGCGAGCGUUGUCCGGAAUUACUGGGCGUAAAGAGCUCGUAGGUGGUUUGUCGCGUCGUCUGUGAAAUUCCGGGGCUUAACUUCGGGCGUGCAGGCGAUACGGGCAUAACUUGAGUGCUGUAGGGGAGACUGGAAUUCCUGGUGUAGCGGUGGAAUGCGCAGAUAUCAGGAGGAACACCGAUGGCGAAGGCAGGUCUCUGGGCAGUAACUGACGCUGAGGAGCGAAAGCAUGGGGAGCGAACAGGAUUAGAUACCCUGGUAGUCCAUGCCGUAAACGGUGGCGCUAGGUGUAGGGGUCUUCCACGACUUCUGUGCCGUAGCUAACGCAUUAAGCGCCCCGCCUGGGGAGUACGGCCGCAAGGCUAAAACUCAAAGGAAUUGACGGGGGCCCGCACAAGCGGCGGAGCAUGUGGAUUAAUUCGAUGCAACGCGAAGAACCUUACCUGGGCUUGACAUAUACAGGACUGGGCCAGAGAUGGUCUUUCCCUUUGUGGCUUGUAUACAGGUGGUGCAUGGUUGUCGUCAGCUCGUGUCGUGAGAUGUUGGGUUAAGUCCCGCAACGAGCGCAACCCUUGUCUUAUGUUGCCAGCGGUUUUGGCCGGGGACUCAUGAGAGACUGCCGGGGUUAACUCGGAGGAAGGUGGGGGAUGACGUCAAAUCAUCAUGCCCCUUAUGUCCAGGGCUUCACACAUGCUACAAUGGUCGGUACAACGCGCUGCGAGCCUGUGAGGGUGAGCGAAUCGCUGAAAGCCGGCCUCAGUUCGGAUUGGGGUCUGCAACUCGACCCCAUGAAGUCGGAGUCGCUAGUAAUCGCAGAUCAGCAACGCUGCGGUGAAUACGUUCCCGGGCCUUGUACACACCGCCCGUCACGUCAUGAAAGUUGGUAACACCCGAAGCCCAUGGCCUAACCCCCUUUUGUGGGGAGGGAGUGGUCGAAGGUGGGAUCGGCGAUUGGGACGAAGUCGUAACAAGGUAGCCGU